CGGCCGCUGGACAACAUGGCGCC
RNAcentral lists this non-coding RNA (23 nucleotides) under Cricetulus griseus (Chinese hamster). The record is from RNAcentral. Lineage: Eukaryota; Metazoa; Chordata; Mammalia; Rodentia; Cricetidae.